GGACAGGUGGUCGAGUGGUUAAUGGCACUGGGCUGUAAACCCAGCGACGAGAGUCUACGGAGGUUCGAAUCCUCCCCUGUCCACCA
Molecule: transfer RNA, 86 nt
Filed under: Candidatus Cloacimonadota bacterium
Lineage: Bacteria; Pseudomonadati; Candidatus Cloacimonadota
Also listed under: 2 other names
Description: tRNA-Tyr
Rfam family: tRNA
About the family: Transfer RNA (tRNA) molecules are approximately 80 nucleotides in length. Their secondary structure includes four short double-helical elements and three loops (D, anti-codon, and T loops).
Source: RNAcentral